Molecule: ribosomal RNA, 412 nt
Filed under: Caprainea marginata
Lineage: Eukaryota; Metazoa; Arthropoda; Collembola; Symphypleona; Sminthuridae
Description: partial 28S ribosomal RNA
Source: RNAcentral
CCUCUCGGGGGUAAGCGGNCAGAACUUGCAAGUAUUGNUGNGAGAUUCAGGCUUAAUGCUGAUGGCUGGGAGUGCUUAGUUAGGCUGGUCUUCGGGAUUUGGCUGGUGUGUGCUUCUUGAUCUGUUGGUAAUGCGCCGCAUUUCUCUCUAUCAUCCGGGUUGCAUGCAACUAAAAUGGCGCUCUAGGUGCUGGGGUACUGCAAAUCCUCGUGGUUUGAGUCCUGGUUUCCGAGUGCUGAUGUGGUUGUUGUCUUGGAGUGAACAGGCGUUUGACGCGGUCGUGGGCUUUGGCGAGCAGGGUGCUCAUGAUAUGUGGACGGGUAACCGUAGCAUGUUGUGUGUACUGGUUGGCAGCCAGAGGUUUUUCGGCNNNNNNNNNNAUNGNAAUCUAAAGCAUGCGUGGUCUGCCUGU